Molecule: long non-coding RNA, 359 nt
Organism: Chenopodium quinoa (quinoa)
Lineage: Eukaryota; Viridiplantae; Streptophyta; Magnoliopsida; Caryophyllales; Amaranthaceae
Exons: 2
Source: RefSeq, a predicted model, not a curated record
UCUCCUAGGACCAUUUUAUGCGUGAAGUGUAAUGGAUGACAAAGGCAAGUUGAUUUUUGCAAUUAAACAAGAAAAGGGAGGUGAUGAAAGAUGACAUACGAAAUAGGUGCUGACGUUGGUAGGCAACCAUCUACAAGCAAAAAUCCACCUACCACUAACAACCCAAGACCCAAGUUGCAGACUACCUCAAAAAAGAUGUAGAUUUUUAUAAUCGUUUUCAGUUGAUAUGGAAUACUUAAUAAACUGUGUAAUUUAAUCGACAUGAUUAUCAAGUGGCAAUGAAGUAUUAUGUCGUGUAGUAUUGAACAAGUUGAGUUUUAUCUUUCUGUAAUGGAUCAUGUGCUCUUUUGUGGGUAGCU